AUUGAACGCUGGCGGCAGGCCUAACACAUGCAAGUCGAGCGGAUGAAGGGAGCUUGCUCCUGGAUUCAGCGGCGGACGGGUGAGUAAUGCCUAGGAAUCUGCCUGGUAGUGGGGGAUAACGUCCGGAAACGGGCGCUAAUACCGCAUACGUCCUGAGGGAGAAAGUGGGGGAUCUUCGGACCUCACGCUAUCAGAUGAGCCUAGGUCGGAUUAGCUAGUUGGUGGGGUAAAGGCCUACCAAGGCGACGAUCCGUAACUGGUCUGAGAGGAUGAUCAGUCACACUGGAACUGAGACACGGUCCAGACUCCUACGGGAGGCAGCAGUGGGGAAUAUUGGACGCUGGGCGAAAGCCUGAUCCAGCCGUGCCGCGUGUGUGAAGCAGGUCUUCGGAUUGUAAAGCACUUUAAGUUGGGAGGAAGGGUAGUAAGUUAAUACCUUGCUGUUUUGACGUUACCAACAGAAUAAGCACCGGCUAACUUCGUG
RNAcentral lists this ribosomal RNA (484 nucleotides) under uncultured bacterium. RNAcentral describes it as "partial 16S ribosomal RNA". It matches the Rfam family "Bacterial small subunit ribosomal RNA", at positions 30 to 507 of the family's 1533-position model. The record is from RNAcentral.